GCUCACCUAGCUCAGUUGGUAGAGCACUUCCUUGGUAAGGAAGAGGUCGGUGGUUCAAAUCCGCUGGUGAGCUCCA
This 76-nucleotide transfer RNA is filed under the name Abyssogena phaseoliformis symbiont OG214. Its description in RNAcentral is "tRNA-Thr". It matches the Rfam family "tRNA". Rfam says of the family: Transfer RNA (tRNA) molecules are approximately 80 nucleotides in length. Their secondary structure includes four short double-helical elements and three loops (D, anti-codon, and T loops). The record is from RNAcentral. RNAcentral also lists the same sequence under 1 other name. Lineage: Bacteria; Pseudomonadati; Pseudomonadota; Gammaproteobacteria.